Molecule: ribosomal RNA, 498 nt
Filed under: uncultured bacterium
Lineage: Bacteria
Description: partial 16S ribosomal RNA
Rfam family: Bacterial small subunit ribosomal RNA
Source: RNAcentral
GAUGAACGCUGGCGGCGUGCCUAAUACAUGCAAGUCGAGCGAACGGACGAGAAGCUUGCUUCUCUGAUGUUAGCGGCGGACGGGUGAGUAACACGUGGAUAACCUACCUAUAAGACUGGGAUAACUUCGGGAAACCGGAGCUAAUACCGGAUAAUAUUUUGAACCGCAUGGUUCAAAAGUAAAAGACGGUCUUGCUGUCACUUAUAGAUGGAUCCGCGCUGCAUUAGCUAGUUGGUAAGGUAACGGCUUACCAAGGCAACGAUGCAUAGCCGACCUGAGAGGGUGAUCGGCCACACUGGAACUGAGACACGGUCCAGACUCCUACGGGAGGCAGCAGUAGGGAAUCUUCCGCAAUGGGCGGAAAGCCUGACGGAGCAACGCCGCGUGAGUGAUGAAGGUCUUCGGAUCGUAAAACUCUGUUAUUAGGGAAGAACAUAUGUGUAAGUAACUGUGCACAUCUUGACGGUACCUAAUCAGAAAGCCACGGCUAACUACGUG